GGGAACAAUGAAGACCAUAGCUUAGCUAAAAAUGUGCUUGCGUUGGUGAUAUCACAUGAAAGUGAAUGCUUUUAGGGAGGACAGCAAAAUAAUGAUUGAUGGGAAAUUGAUUUUUUUAUUUGAUUGUAUGCAAAUUGUUGUCAAAUUAAACAACCAAGUAAGUCUUUCAGUAUUCGCCUCGCUCCAACAAAUGUGUCUGUGAGCGAGCCGGUCCACACGUCAUGCCCAAAUGUUAUGUGAUAAUAGCAGCUGUGUUCCUUUGCCAAUGAGAUGAUCGGCUAAGCUCGGGGAAGCUCCAAAGCCACUUUCAAGUGGUGGCUGCUGGACUGAAAUCAAGUCCUGCUAUGUCGCUGUUUGUCGUUCGCUUCCCACUAUACCGUCGAUUGUUUGCCGAUCGUUGAUGGCUUUUUAACCGUGUAUGCAUAGAGAUGCGGCAUAUUUAAGAGAAGAGAAAAAGAGGCAGAGAAGGUCCCCACCAAAGCUGUUUAGUAGAUAGAGCAUUUAUAUCCCUGUGCUCUCUCAGUGAAACAGAGUUGAGAAACGCCCGCAUCCCCACUGCACUCAAGCAAAAGUCAACAGGUAAGCAGAGCUGCAUCCCUACCUUACAGCGCAGGCACGAGUGCUGGCCCAGUCUGUUACAGGAAACGCCUACAUCGGAACACGGUAGAAAAAAAAAAAGUGAAAAAUUCAUUGAGGUGAUUGCUUGCCUCUUUCGAAAUA
Molecule: long non-coding RNA, 720 nt
Organism: Hippocampus comes (tiger tail seahorse)
Lineage: Eukaryota; Metazoa; Chordata; Actinopteri; Syngnathiformes; Syngnathidae
Exons: 3
Source: RefSeq, a predicted model, not a curated record